Orbicella faveolata is the source of this 567-nucleotide long non-coding RNA. Lineage: Eukaryota; Metazoa; Cnidaria; Anthozoa; Scleractinia; Merulinidae. The record is from RefSeq and is a predicted model, not a curated record.
UAAAUCUCAUCUCCGAGACUGACUUUCGCGGGAAAAAAAUUAAAAACCCAGCGUUCGUCAAUAAUUAUAUUUUUUGAGCAGAAAUUUCGCUCGGAACAUAUACAUAUUUAUAUUCNUUUGAAUCAUCGACGAAAUGACCUUUUCCGGAUAUUUUUUCCUUCGGAGUCAACAAAAACCUCCGAUUACAAAAUCACGCCGAACCCACACGUUGCAAAACAAUCUCUUCAAAACCCUGAUUUCGAAGCGAUAUAUCACUUAAUAGUUACCACACAUCGGCAGACGGUAAAUCUAUUCCUUAACAAUCCAGCUUUAUCGUGUUAAAAUUUCAGCAAAAUCGAGCAAAACCAGAAUUAAUUAGAAUUUUUUUGUGACCUCACUCCCCAGACUUGACCUAACAAAGGAAACCACUGUCGCCCAUAGCAACCGAAAAACACCAACAUAACAAAGCCCACGUUUCGGCCAAAAAAACUCCAGAAUUAUCGCCUGAGAGCUUAAACUUAAAUAGGAACAUCUUUUUCGAACUUUUUUCAACUCAUUUAGACGAAAGACUGGCCUCGGCGGGCUACA